UGGUACUGAUUUCAGUUGGCUCAUCUGU
Molecule: small RNA, 28 nt
Filed under: Bombyx mori (domestic silkworm)
Lineage: Eukaryota; Metazoa; Arthropoda; Insecta; Lepidoptera; Bombycidae
Description: ovarian small RNA-35092
Source: RNAcentral